UACGUAGGGGGCAAGCGUUGUCCGGAUUUAUUGGGCGUAAAGAGCGUGUAGGCGGCCUGAAAGGUCAGCUGUGAAAACUCGAGGCUCAACCUCGAGACGUCGGUUGAAACCAUCUGGCUAGAGUCCGGAAGAGGAGUGUGGAAUUCCCGGUGUAGCGGUGAAAUGCGCAGAUAUCGGGAAGAACACCCGUGGCGAAGGCGGCACUCUGGGACGGUACUGACGCUGAGACGCGCAAGCGUGGGGAGCGAACAGG
Molecule: ribosomal RNA, 253 nt
Filed under: uncultured bacterium
Lineage: Bacteria
Description: partial 16S ribosomal RNA
Rfam family: Bacterial small subunit ribosomal RNA
Source: RNAcentral